RNAcentral lists this transfer RNA (67 nucleotides) under Micropotamogale ruwenzorii (Ruwenzori otter shrew). RNAcentral's name for it is "tRNA-Pro". The record is from RNAcentral. Lineage: Eukaryota; Metazoa; Chordata; Mammalia; Afrosoricida; Tenrecidae.
CAGGAAAUAGUUUAUUAAGAAUAUUAGCUUUGGGUGCUAAUGGAAAGACGUAAGGUUUUUUUCCUGA